Molecule: long non-coding RNA, 547 nt
Filed under: Gorilla gorilla gorilla (western lowland gorilla)
Lineage: Eukaryota; Metazoa; Chordata; Mammalia; Primates; Hominidae
Description: lncRNA (ENSGGOG00000044409.1)
Source: RNAcentral
ACUGAGCAUUGUUGAAAAUGCUAGUGAUGGAAUAUCAAAUAAAAUUAAGGGCCUGACUUACAGUCAGGUAGAAAGAAGGACACUAUAUGCUAAAGCUGCUAUGAUGGGCAACUGGGCAAGAAAAGGCAGAGGCAGAGAGUUUAAUUGUAUGGAGACAACUGGGUACAAGUAGGGUCAGUAUCAGGAGAGGCUUCUUAAAGAAGGUGAUGCUUGGGCUGAUUCAUGAGAGAUGAGUGUUUACCUCAUGAGGAGGAGCUUGAUUGGAUGAAGGGAGAUGGAAGAGCAUGGAGGACAGUACAGAAGCCCAGAGAUAGGCAAGACAACUUCACCCAGGAAGCAUAUAAAACCACUCCAGUGGACAAUGUCUUUCUCUUGGACCAGAUGAGUUCUGAAAUCCAAUCUAGUGUAGCCAUUGAUUCAUUUGGAUAGAGAAGACAAGAUUGAGAAACAGUAUAAAACAGAACACAUAACUGCCUUCCUGUAUGCCUCAGUGUCCUCAACAAAAGAGAAAGAAAGCCAGAAGAAAAGAAAGAGAAAGAGAGAGAGA